ACGAACGCUGGCGGCGUGCUUAACACAUGCAAGUCGAACGGAAAGGCCUCUUUCGGGGGGUACUCGAGUGGCGAACGGGUGAGUAACACGUGAGUAACCUGCCCUUGACUUUGGGAUAACUUCAGGAAACUGGGGCUAAUACCGGAUAGGAGCUCCUGCUGCAUGGUGGGGGUUGGAAAGUUUCGGCGGUUGGGGAUGGACUCGCGGCUUAUCAGCUUGUUGGUGGGGUAGUGGCUUACCAAGGCUUUGACGGGUAGCCGGCCUGAGAGGGUGACCGGCCACAUUGGGACUGAGAUACGGCCCAGACUCCUACGGGAGGCAGCAGUGGGGAAUAUUGCACAAUGGGUGGAAGCCUGAUGCAGCAACGCCGUGUGCGGGAUGACGGCCUUUGGGUUGUAAACCGCUUUCGCUCAUGACGAAGCUUUGUGUGACGGUAGUGGAUAAAGAAGCACCGGCUAACUACGUG
Molecule: ribosomal RNA, 466 nt
Filed under: uncultured bacterium
Lineage: Bacteria
Description: partial 16S ribosomal RNA
Rfam family: Bacterial small subunit ribosomal RNA
Source: RNAcentral